Molecule: ribosomal RNA, 428 nt
Filed under: uncultured bacterium
Lineage: Bacteria
Description: bacterial SSU rRNA
Rfam family: Bacterial small subunit ribosomal RNA
Source: RNAcentral
CAGGGAAUUUUGGACAAUGGGGGCAACCCUGAUCCAGCCAUGCCGCGUGAGUGAAGAAGGCCUUCGGGUUGUAAAGCUCUUUCGGCCGGGAAGAAAUCGCAUGGGCUAAUACCCUGUGCGGAUGACGGUACUGGCAUAAGAAGCACCGGCUAACUACGUGCUAGCAGCCGCGGUAAUACGUAGGGUGCGAGCGUUAAUCGGAAUUACUGGGCGUAAAGCGUGCGCAGGCGGUUUUGUAAGACAGGCGUGAAAUCCCCGGGCUCAACCUGGGAACUGCGUUUGUGACUGCAAGGCUAGAGUACGGCAGAGGGGGGUGGAAUUCCACGUGUAGCAGUGAAAUGCGUAGAGAUGUGGAGGAACACCAAUGGCGAAGGCAGCCCCCUGGGUCGAUACUGACGCUCAUGCACGAAAGCGUGGGUAGCAAACAG